CAAGAUCACAAGACUUGUUUUGAGCGUCUGUCAUCUUUAAUUUUACGGCACUUCAUUUCAGAGUAGGACUGCCAGGGUCACAUGCAAUUAAAACACAGGCAAGAUUUGUCUUGUGAAAUCUUAACAUAAAAAGUAAUGUGUUACUCCAUUUUAACUUUUCUACUGAACUCUGUGAACUCACUAAUUACUUUUCCCCCCUCUUGUCACCUUUUUGAUAUGACAUGUAUUUUAUAGAGGAGAUAGAAGUUUGGAUUUUUUUUUUUGUAUCAUGCAUACGAUUGAGGAUAACAAAAUUAAACCAGAGAAAAAAGAAAUUCGUUUUUCAGAAAUGCAUUUUUUAAAAAAGACAUAUCUGAGUACUCCAGCUUCAAUUACAAAGAACCUCAUUGAUCGAAUUCUAGGAAAUAACUGUUAAUCUGCUUAACUAGGGCAGGUAGAAGUAUAAUAACGGACCAACGAUUUUAUGCAGGCCAGAAUGGUGAACCAGAGUUUAUUCUCUGGGGUGCGGGGCAAAGGGGCUUUUAUGUGAUUGGCUGUGAAAAGUAUUAAAAACCGGCGCCAACGUGGAGAUUUGGAGCGCAAGGAGGCUUGUUCCAUCUUAGUGAUCAGUAAAUUGCAUAGACCCUUAUUAACCUUAUUGAUAAGGAGCUUAGGGAAGUCCCAUUCAGGCCGCAAUAUAUUCUUCUUUUUGUUCUCCUGUCUCCGCCUGCGAUCCCAGCCGCUUUGUAAGCAGAGCCUUUAUGCUGCGCCUCAAAAUUCAGCGCUGGCCCGCGGUCCCCUGACUCUCCUCAGCAGCGGAGCACCUCUAUCAUUUUCCUUUCAGUCAAGGAGGCUUGACUUUGACUGAGGGGCACAUCAUGACAGAUUUGUGCACUCGCAGUACAAAUAGAUGCUGAAGCAGAGGAAAGAAUCUGAAUACUCAAGGGAAUCCCAUUAGUGGAAUAUUUGCGAGGGAAAAAAAGGUAGGGUCUAGCAAUACAGAGCAGAAAUGAAACUGUGCAAAAUGUCACCAAAUGAUGUGGAAAAAUCCACACUUCUUCAAGCAUGCUGUGCAAUAUGGACUCAGAACACACUUUGCUGGUGAUGUGAGAAUGGUUAGCACAAGUCCUGCUCUUCAAAUGUGAGUGUGCCUGUCUCAAAUAAACUUGUCAGCUUAAAUGGUGCCA
Molecule: long non-coding RNA, 1166 nt
Filed under: Bos indicus x Bos taurus (hybrid cattle)
Lineage: Eukaryota; Metazoa; Chordata; Mammalia; Artiodactyla; Bovidae
Description: lncRNA (ENSBIXG00005016348.1)
Source: RNAcentral